CAUGGAGGUUUUGGGCUACAACCACGCCAUGUUUGGCUUCGCACCUUACGGACCAUACUGGCGCAACAUGCGUAAAAUUACCACUCUCGAGCUCCUCUCGAACCACCGACUGGAUAUGCUCAAACAUGUACGAGAAUCUGAGAUGAAGGUAUCCUUACAAGAGUUAUAUCAACUUUGGAAAGAGAACAAAAAUAGCUCUGAUAAGGUUUUGGUGGAGAUGGAUAAAUGGUUCCGCGAUGCAACCGCCAACGUGAUUCUCAAGAUGAUAGUAGGGAAGCGAAUUUCGAGUUUGGGGAAUGAUGCAGAGAGUGGGAGAUGGAAGAACGCGUUGAAGGAGUUCUUCGAGUUGAGUGGGAAGUUUUUGGUAGCGGAUGCAUUCCCAUUUUUGAGAUGGUUGGACAUUGGGGGAGACGAGAGGUUGAUGAAGAAGGUGAAGAAAGUACUGAACGAAGUUGCUGAGGAAUGGUUACAAGAGCACAAGCAAAAGAGAGCUUCGGGUGAGUUCAGGGACGAGGAAGAAGACUUCAUGGAUGUCAUGCUGUCAAUCCUCACCGACGCCAAGGAGUAUGAUGCUGAUACAAUAAACAAAGCUACGUGCCUGGUAUGCUCUAAUUUGAUUUGUUAAUUCAUCAAUAAUCAAUCAUAAACUUCAUUUAGAAAUAACUCCAUUCAGAUUUUACCUUUGACAAUUUAAAUUAUAUAUGUUAUCUUUCGAUUACUUUUCAGAUUCUUAUCUUAGCAGCCACUGAUCCCACAGCGGUUACAUUGACAUGGUGUUUAGCCUUAUUACUCAAUAAUCGUGAUGCGUUGAAGAAAGCACAGCAAGAAAUAGACAUCCAUAUCGGUAAAGACAAGCCAGUGGAGGAAAAUGAUAUAAAGAAUUUAGUUUACCUUCAAGCCAUAAUCAAGGAAACCUUGCGAUUACACCCUGCCGGACCACUCGCAGUGCCUCAUGAAUCCAUGGAAAACUGCACCGUUAAUGGCUACCAUAUCCCUGCAGGCACAGAACUUCUCAUCAAUCUUUACAAAAUCCAUCGCGAUUCUCGCGUAUGGUCUGAUCCUUACAAGUUUCAACCGGAAAGGUUUUUGACUACUCACAAAAAUUUUGAUGUAAGGGGUCAGAAUUUUGAGUUGAUACCAUUUAGUAGUGGAAGAAGAAUGUGCCCUGGAGUUUCCUUUGCGCUUCAGGUUGUGCAGCUUACGCUAGCCAAUUUGCUGCAUGGGUUUGACUUAGCAACGCCAUUCGAUGAACCAGUUGAUAUGCGAGAGGCAGCCGGGCUGUCAAAC
Molecule: long non-coding RNA, 1287 nt
Filed under: Theobroma cacao (cacao)
Lineage: Eukaryota; Viridiplantae; Streptophyta; Magnoliopsida; Malvales; Malvaceae
Description: long non-coding RNA (TCAC_LNC004688)
Source: RNAcentral